GGUUAAGUGAAUAAGGGCGCACGGUGGAUGCCUUGGCACUAGGAGCCGAUGAAGGACGGGACUAACACCGAUAUGCUUUGGGGAGCUGUAAGUAAGCUAUGAUCCAGAGAUUUCCGAAUGGGGGAACCCAAUAUCUUUUAUAGGAUAUUACUUUUCAGUGAAUACAUAGCUGAUUAGAGGUAGACGCAGAGAACUGAAACAUCUUAGUACCUGCAGGAAGAGAAAGAAAAUUCGAUUCCCUGAGUAGCGGCGAGCGAAACGGGAAGAGCCCAAACCAACAAGCUUGCUUGUUGGGGUU
Molecule: ribosomal RNA, 298 nt
Filed under: Escherichia coli
Lineage: Bacteria; Pseudomonadati; Pseudomonadota; Gammaproteobacteria; Enterobacterales; Enterobacteriaceae
Also listed under: 1 other name
Description: partial 23S ribosomal RNA
Rfam family: Bacterial large subunit ribosomal RNA
Source: RNAcentral